GAUGAACGCUGGCGGCGUGCCUAAUACAUGCAAGUCGAGCGAACAGACGAGGAGCUUGCUCCUCUGACGUUAGCGGCGGACGGGUGAGUAACACGUGGAUAACCUACCUAUAAGACUGGGAUAACUUCGGGAAACCGGAGCUAAUACCGGAUAAUAUAUUGAACCGCAUGGUUCAAUAGUGAAAGACGGUUUUGCUGUCACUUAUAGAUGGAUCCGCGCCGCAUUAGCUAGUUGGUAAGGUAACGGCUUACCAAGGCAACGAUGCGUAGCCGACCUGAGAGGGUGAUCGGCCACACUGGAGCUGAGACACGGUCCAGACGCCUACGGGAGGCAGCAGUAGGGAAUCUUCCGCAAUGGGCGAAAGCCUGACGGAGCAACGCCGCGUGAGUGAUGAAGGUCUUCGGAUCGUAAAACUCUGUUAUGAGGGAAGAACAAAUGUGUAAGUAACUAUGCACGUCUUGACGGUACCUAAUCAGAAAGCCACGGCUAACUACGUG
Molecule: ribosomal RNA, 497 nt
Filed under: uncultured bacterium
Lineage: Bacteria
Description: partial 16S ribosomal RNA
Rfam family: Bacterial small subunit ribosomal RNA
Source: RNAcentral